RNAcentral lists this ribosomal RNA (253 nucleotides) under uncultured bacterium. RNAcentral describes it as "partial 16S ribosomal RNA". It matches the Rfam family "Bacterial small subunit ribosomal RNA", at positions 524 to 776 of the family's 1533-position model. The record is from RNAcentral.
UACGAAGGGUGCAAACGUUGCUCGGAAUUAUUGGGCGUAAAGCGCACGUAGGCGGCAUUGCAAGUCGGAUGUGAAAUCUUAUGGCUUAACCAUAAAAGUGCAUCCGAAGCUGCAGUGCUUGAGUACUUAAGAGGAUCGCGGAAUUCCCGGUGUAGAGGUGAAAUGCGUAGAUAUCGGGAGGAACACCCGUGGCGAAGGCGGCUUUCUGGACCACUACUGACGCUGAGGCACGAAAGCCGGGGGAGCAAACAGG